AGUGAACGCUGGCGGUAGGCCUAACACAUGCAAGUCGAACGGCAGCACAGUAAGAGCUUGCUCUUACGGGUGGCGAGUGGCGGACGGGUGAGGAAUACAUCGGAAUCUACUUUUUCGUGGGGGAUAACGUAGGGAAACUUACGCUAAUACCGCAUACGACCUACGGGUGAAAGCAGGGGAUCUUCGGACCUUGCGCGAUUGAAUGAGCCGAUGUCGGAUUAGCUAGUUGGCGGGGUAAAGGCCCACCAAGGCGACGAUCCGUAGCUGGUCUGAGAGGAUGAUCGGCCACACUGGAACUGAGACACGGUCCAGACUCCUACGAGAGGCAGCAGUGGGGAAUAUUGGACAAUGGGCGGAAGCCUGAUCCAGCCAUACCGCGUGGGUGAAGAAGGCCUUCGGGUUGUAAAGCCCUUUUGUUGGGAAAGAAAAGCAGCAGGUUAAUACCCCGCUGUUCUGACGGUAACCAAAGAAUAAGCACCGGCUAACUUCGUG
This 492-nucleotide ribosomal RNA is filed under the name uncultured bacterium. RNAcentral describes it as "partial 16S ribosomal RNA". It matches the Rfam family "Bacterial small subunit ribosomal RNA", at positions 29 to 507 of the family's 1533-position model. The record is from RNAcentral.